GAAGGGAAGAAGCUGAAGGAUGGGAUUGACCUGGCUGACUGAGGAGCACAGACCCUGUUGGAGUGAAGAAUUUUGUCUGAGCUUUGCCUUUGUAAUGAGGCCAUCUUCAUGGUGACCCCAGGCUGGAGAGGCCACCCUAGGGCAUCCCUACCUUGCCUGUUCUUCUUGGUCUUAAGAAACCAACUCUCUUUGGGAGGCCGAGAUGAGGAUGAGGAAGACAAUUGCUGAAUUGGGACUGGCUGAAUCUACUUAUGAUUUCAUCAGUCAAUGUUUACAAGUGUGCAGGCCUGUGGUGUGCCGGGGAGAGCUGCUGGCAAACCGGCUGGAGUUGGGCUUUCUGGAGCAGCUCUCACCAUAGACUCUGCAUGGACAUCUUCUCCGCCCGGCAACAUGCUGCCCUUUCACUAGGGCCUGUUUAUAAAGAGUUCUACAG
Long non-coding RNA from Pan troglodytes (chimpanzee), 433 nucleotides. RefSeq lists it as uncharacterized. NCBI's taxonomy places the organism in Eukaryota, Metazoa, Chordata, Mammalia, Primates, Hominidae. The transcript is spliced from 3 exons. The record is from RefSeq and is a predicted model, not a curated record.